Molecule: ribosomal RNA, 279 nt
Filed under: Toxascaris leonina
Lineage: Eukaryota; Metazoa; Nematoda; Chromadorea; Rhabditida; Ascarididae
Description: partial ribosomal RNA
Source: RNAcentral
AUAUCGGAAAAGGACGCACGUUUAUGAAAUGACUCAUUUGUCGAACGCUCAUAUAACGGCAUACUCGGUGAGCUAUGGAAAUUCUUAUUGCUAUUGUACCUUACCAAGCGGUAAAUAUUCACRUCCAUUAUCAUUUGCUCAAAUGAGAUGUGAAAUAGCCAUAAGCGAUUGCUCUAUAAUGCGAUUUCCAGCAUGUAUUGACUCUAAUACAUUAUGGCUUAAUGGUUGAAGAUUGCAUAGCUAAAUAUACGAGCGUCAAUAAUGACUAUAAUGAAUUUU